This 397-nucleotide ribosomal RNA is filed under the name uncultured bacterium. RNAcentral's name for it is "bacterial SSU rRNA". It matches the Rfam family "Bacterial small subunit ribosomal RNA", at positions 521 to 916 of the family's 1533-position model. The record is from RNAcentral.
UAAUACGAAGGGUGCAAGCGUUACUCGGAAUUACUGGGCGUAAAGCGUGCGUAGGUGGUUCGUUAAGUCCGAUGUGAAAGCCCUGGGCUCAACCUGGGAAUGGCAUUGGAUACUGGCGGGCUAGAGUGCGGUAGAGGAUAGUGGAAUUCCUGGUGUAGCAGUGAAAUGCGUAGAGAUCAGGAGGAACAUCCGUGGCGAAGGCGACUGUCUGGACCAGCACUGACACUGAGGCACGAAAGCGUGGGGAGCAAACAGGAUUAGAUACCCUGGUAGUCCACGCCCUAAACGAUGCGAACUGGAUGUUGGGCUCAACUUGGAGCUCAGUAUCGAAGCUAACGCGUUAAGUUCGCCGCCUGGGGAGUACGGUCGCAAGACUGAAACUCAAAUGAAUUGACGG